UGUUUAGUCCCCAGCUGGGCCAUUCACUUAAGGGUUGGAUUUGAUAAUCCUUGUGGGUCCCUUCCAACUCAGAAAAUUCUGUGAUUCUAGAAAU
This is a long non-coding RNA of Corvus hawaiiensis (hawaiian crow), 94 nucleotides long. RefSeq lists it as uncharacterized. Lineage: Eukaryota; Metazoa; Chordata; Aves; Passeriformes; Corvidae. The transcript is spliced from 3 exons. The record is from RefSeq and is a predicted model, not a curated record.